CCCCCUCUUUUCCCUUCCGCGUCGACAUCAAUUUCAUGUUCAAACCUACACUGCCUUUUUAUUUUCUCCAUCUGUUUACUAGCAACCUUUGUUUCCAUAAGAAAUAAAAUAUGAGGCUGAAUGUGUCUCAACUUGUUUUUUAGACGACUGAUUGUUCGUGGUUGCCUCAAGCCACGAAUAUUCCAACUGAGAAUUUUCAUUGUGCC
RNAcentral lists this long non-coding RNA (206 nucleotides) under Gossypium barbadense (sea-island cotton). Its description in RNAcentral is "long non-coding RNA (GBAR_LNC022219)". Lineage: Eukaryota; Viridiplantae; Streptophyta; Magnoliopsida; Malvales; Malvaceae. The record is from RNAcentral.